This 373-nucleotide long non-coding RNA is filed under the name Scleropages formosus (Asian bonytongue). Its description in RNAcentral is "lncRNA (ENSSFOG00015030625.1)". Lineage: Eukaryota; Metazoa; Chordata; Actinopteri; Osteoglossiformes; Osteoglossidae. The record is from RNAcentral.
GUAAUUGUCUCAAAGACAGAUUUGAGAGUCUGGUUCAUUUUUUUGUUAUAAAUUUCUUUCAUUCGAGUUUGGUCAGUUUUUCAAUCAUUAAAAUGUAAUAAAUACCGUGUGAUAUUAAGAAUGUAACUCUUUGGGUUGUUAAAUGCUGAGUUUAAUGGGUCACGUGAUCUGAGUUUAAUUGAGAGAGGGAAUGUUGAAUUGUGGGUAAGGUGUUAUGGAUGCAGAGGAAGGACGUGCAGCAACGAAGCACAACUUCUGAAGCGACAUUUUCUGCAUAAGGUUCAAAGGGCACACACGGAAAUUCUUGCUGCAGCAAUGAAGGGGUCCCAGUGAGCCAGAGCCUAACCAAGUAACACAAGGCAGAAGGCUGGAG